GAACUAGGGCACGGACUGGAUCUAGAUCAAAUGGUGUGUCACUUUUUGCACUCAUAACUUCCAGUUGUUUUGAGAAUACAAUAGAGUUUCGACAACUCCCAGUAACUGGGGUAUUCAGAUGGCCUGGAUUUCUCUGCUGUCACACUGUAAACCAGACUCCUUUCAGGAAGAUUUUGUUCUUCCCUCUUUUAAAGGUGGCAUAUUAUUGAAAUUAAAAUAGAAGAAAAGUCUCUGCCAACAAUUAAGCAUCACACUGAGUCACACCUGCUGCCUUAAAGAUAAGCAUAUAAUUUAUUAGACAGACUUCUUGAGCAAUAUCUGAUACAGUUCAGUUCAGUUCAAUCGCUCAGUUGUGUCUGACUCUUUGCGACCCC
RNAcentral lists this long non-coding RNA (374 nucleotides) under Capra hircus (goat). Its description in RNAcentral is "lncRNA (ENSCHIG00010013500.1)". The record is from RNAcentral. Lineage: Eukaryota; Metazoa; Chordata; Mammalia; Artiodactyla; Bovidae.